CGCUGGCGGCACGCCUAAUACAUGCAAGUCGAACGAAGUAGCAAUACUUAGUGGCAGACGGGUGAGUAACAUGUAGGUAUCUACCCUUUGGCCUGGAAUAACACGAGGAAACUUGUGCUAAUACCGGAUAAGUCUUUACGGAGAAAGCUUUAUGCACCAUUGGAUGAGCCUGCACUUGAUUAGUUUGUUGGUAGGGUAAUGGCCUACCAAGACUUUGAUCAAUAGCUGAUUUGAGAGGAUGAUCAGCCACAUUGGGACUGAGACACGGCCCAAACUCCUACGGGAGGCAGCAGUAGGGAAUCUUGCACAAUGGAGGAAACUCUGAUGCAGCGAUGCCGCGUGAGUGAAGAAGGCCUUUGGGUUGUAAAGCUCUUUCGUCGGGGAAGAAAAUGACUGUACCCGAAUAAGAAGGUCCGGCUAACUUCGUGCCAGCAGCCGCGGUAAUACGAAGGGACCUAGCGUAGUUCGGAAUUACUGGGCUUAAAGAGUUCGUAGGUGGUUGAAAAAGUUGGUGGUGAAAUCCCAGAGCUUAACUCUGGAACUGCCAUCAAAACUUUUCAGCUAGAGUUUGAUAGAGGAAAGCAGAAUUUCUAGUGUAGAGGUGAAAUUCGUAGAUAUUAGAAAGAAUACCAAUUGCGAAGGCAGCUUUCUGGAUCAUUACUGACACUGAGGAACGAAAGCAUGGGUAGCGAAGAGGAUUAGAUACCCUCGUAGUCCAUGCCGUAAACGAUGUGUGUUAGACGUUGGAAAUUUAUUUUCAGUGUCGCAGCGAAAGCAAUAAACACACCGCCUGGGGAGUACGACCGCA
This 808-nucleotide ribosomal RNA is filed under the name uncultured Pelagibacteraceae bacterium. Its description in RNAcentral is "bacterial SSU rRNA". It matches the Rfam family "Bacterial small subunit ribosomal RNA", at positions 34 to 890 of the family's 1533-position model. The record is from RNAcentral. Lineage: Bacteria; Pseudomonadati; Pseudomonadota; Alphaproteobacteria; Candidatus Pelagibacterales; Candidatus Pelagibacteraceae.